This is a long non-coding RNA of Harpia harpyja (harpy eagle), 1866 nucleotides long. RefSeq lists it as uncharacterized. The transcript has 3 exons. NCBI's taxonomy places the organism in Eukaryota, Metazoa, Chordata, Aves, Accipitriformes, Accipitridae. The record is from RefSeq and is a predicted model, not a curated record.
GGCGGGACAGCCUCCCCGCGCAGCCCGGUUUGGUUCCCGAGGCCGGGCGAGUGUUUCCUGUGAACAUCCAUGGAAGAGUAAAAGGAUUUGAAAGCUACAUUCUGGAGAAAUUUGUGUAGUUUCUGUUACACAGAGAAAUGCUGAAAUUUCAAGAAACUGCUAUGCCUGUCACUUUUGCCAGAUUUAAUUCGGCUUGCUCAGAUGCUUGAUUGCAAGAAGAUAUACUAUUCAGAGGAAACUUGCCAAUGGAAGCUUUGGAAGUGUGUAUCUGGUUUCUGACAGAAAAGCAAACAAGAAGAAGAAUUGUAAAUCUCUCAACAACGGGAUCAACCCAAGACUCCUCCCAGACAUCUCCCAGAGUCUUUUGACCUCUGCUUUCAUGACCGGACGUCCCAGGUAGCAGCCCCAUACUCCUCCAAGGAAGCUACCCUUGAGGUUUUUUCUUUUUUGGAGGAAGCAGUCCCCUCCAGGAUCCACCUGUGACUCCUCGCAGCAACUCCCAGAGGCUUCUGACAUCACUUUUAAGGACCUGAGAUCCAGGUAGCAGCCCCAGACUUCUCCAAGAUGAUUUUUCUCCUUUGAAGGAAGGAGUUUCCUCCGGGAUCCACCUGGGACUCCUCCCAGGCAUCUCCCAGAGUCUUUUGCCCUUUCUUAUAGGGACCUCAGAUCCCAGGUAGCAUGCCCAGACUCCUACAAGGAAGCUACCCAAGAUGAUUUUUCUCCUUUGCAGGAAGCUGUGUCCUCCAGGAUCGAGGCAAGACUCCUCCCAGGCAUCUCCUAGAGUCUUUUGAUCUCUGCUUUCGGGACCGGAGGUCCCAGCUACUUGUGCCAGACUCCUCCAAGUAACUUGCUCGAGAUAUUUUUUUUCUCAUUUAGAUAUAUCUCUUGACUCCAGGAGCCACCUUAGACUCUUCCCAGCCAUUUCCCAGAGUCUUUUGACCUCUGCUUUCACGACCGGAGAUCCCAGGUAGCAGCCCCAGGCUCCUCCAAGGAAGCUACCCUUGAGGUUUUUUCUUUUUUGGAGGAAGCAGUCCCCUCCAGGAUCCACCUGUGACUCCUCCCAGCAACUCCCAGAGGCUUUUGACCUCCCUUUUGGGGACCUGACAUCCUGGGUAGCAACCCCAGACUUCUCCAAGGAAGCUACCCAAUGUUGCAUCCCAAAGUUGGAGUGACUCAGGUUCGUGGAUUUCCUUUGUCAGAAUUAAGGUGAAACGACACCAGGGGAGUUCAAACAACAAUCAACAUGUAUUCAACCUAGCUAACCUUGCCCAAGUACAAGUGAACUUAUCAAUAUGAACCUUGCAACGUGUCAUUAACCUGCUGUUUGAAAAGAGAAGGGAGGCUGUAAAAGGAACUAGGCCUUAAGCCUUAUUGUUUCUAAGACUAUUCAUAUUAGACAUAUAACUAAUGAUUAGAAAUUGUUUUAGAUAUGAUUAAUAGAAUGCAGGUGCUUAUAAAACAAUAUGCAUAAGCUGCUUAUUUGUCCUAUGUGUCUCCCCCUCCAUGGCUGGCUUGAAACCCAGUCAAGCCGAAUCAACAGAAGAAGGAUCAUACAUCUUAGACCUAAGACAUGGGAGUAAGUGAUUAACUUUAGAACAAGAUAAAUUAAUAGAAUAGCCUGAGUGAUUUUCAGAAAUUCAAAGGUAAUCUUUGAUGUGUAAGAAGAUAAGUGAUUGUGGUGACCGAAGACCUUCUGCCUACGACCACUAACUUCAGAAGAACUGGGACAUGAGAAUUGAUGAGUUAAGAUGAUGAAUGAUAACGACAUGGGAACAGAGAUCGACUGGAAAAUUACAAAGACUUUGGACUGGGACAACAGGUGGUAAAAACGUAUGUAAGAUUGGGAAAUUUUUGGAAGGUUGCCAU